AAGGGAUUCAGUCUGUCACCUGCUCCCGUGCGGUGAUCUCGUUAUAACACCUGUGCUCGGAACCUCCAGUAGACAGGAAAGAAGAAAACGUGUAAACAUAUUGUCCAUGCAGGCAAACGGUGGUUCUAUAGUGGACUUAUAGAUUGUUUAACAAUUGUGUGUGUGUCUUUGGUCAAGGAAUUUAAUCAAGUGAGGUGAUGAUAAAGUGACGCCAAAGAUUACAAGGGAAGUAAAGAAAAAAAAAAUCAACGAAACAGAAAAAAAUACGAAAGCUUGAACUAUUGUUUGGAGGAAAAGAAAGGAGACAGUAAGAAAUAUACAGAAAUUUGGGUAAUGAUAAUCCUGUGAAAGCAAAAACAAUAGAAAAAAAAGGAAGAUAAAAACACUAAAACCAUAAUAAUAUUCCCACGAAAA
Molecule: long non-coding RNA, 414 nt
Organism: Portunus trituberculatus (swimming crab)
Lineage: Eukaryota; Metazoa; Arthropoda; Malacostraca; Decapoda; Portunidae
Exons: 2
Source: RefSeq, a predicted model, not a curated record